CAGCAGCGGGUCAGGUAUUCCAAAUACGUUUAAAAACACCAAGGCGAUGACUGGACGAUCGGCCAAGUUGACCAAUACUCAAAACCACUGGUGUGAACAUCUCCCCCAAGUGCUCCACCAGGCAAGGUACCGUGGACCGCGUACCUUGAUUUACUCCUAAUGGUCUUAACCCGGAUUCAUCCCCCAGAAUCCGG
RNAcentral lists this small RNA (194 nucleotides) under Pseudomonas cuatrocienegasensis. RNAcentral describes it as "Pseudomonas sRNA P16". It matches the Rfam family "RgsA sRNA". From Rfam's summary of the family: P16 sRNA appears to be conserved across several Pseudomonas species and Azotobacter vinelandii. In these species it is consistently located downstream of a predicted TatD deoxyribonuclease gene. Lineage: Bacteria; Pseudomonadati; Pseudomonadota; Gammaproteobacteria; Pseudomonadales; Pseudomonadaceae. The record is from RNAcentral. RNAcentral also lists the same sequence under 1 other name.